Molecule: ribosomal RNA, 250 nt
Filed under: uncultured bacterium
Lineage: Bacteria
Description: partial 16S ribosomal RNA
Rfam family: Bacterial small subunit ribosomal RNA
Source: RNAcentral
UACGUAGGGUGCAAGCGUUGUCCGGAAUUAUUGGGCGUAAAGAGCUCGUAGGCGGUCUGUCGCGUCGGCUGUGAAAACUUGGGGCUCAACCCCAAGCCUGCAGUCGAUACGGGCAGACUAGAGUGCGGUAGGGGAGACUGGAAUCCUGGUGUAGCGGUGAAAUGCGUAGAUAUCGGGAAGAACAUCAGUGGCGAAGGCGACUUCUGGACCAAUACUGACACUGAGGCACGAAAGCGUGGGAGCAAACAGG